UAAUUGGGCGUUAAGUUGCAGGGUAUAGACCCGAAACCCGGUGAUCUAGCCAUGGGCAGGUUGAAGGUUGGGUAACACUAACUGGAGGACCGAACCGACUAAUGUUGAAAAAUUAGCGGAUGACCUGUGGCUGGGGGUGAAAGGCCAAUCAAACCGGGAGAUAGCUGGUUCUCCCCGAAAGCUAUUUAGGUAGCGCCUCGUGAAUUCAUCUCCGGGGGUAGAGCACUGUUUCGGCUAGGGGGCCAUCCCGGCUUACCAACCCGAUGCAAACUGCGAAUACCGGAGAAUGUUAUCACGGGAGACACACGGCGGGUGCUAACGUCCGUCGUGAAGAGGGAAACAACCCAGACCGCCAGCUAAGGUCCCAAAGUCAUGGUUAAGUGGGAAACGAUGUGGGAAGGCCCAGACAGCCAGGAUGUUGGCUUAGAAGCAGCCAUCAUUUAAAGAAAGCGUAAUAGCUCACUGGUCGAGUCGGCCUGCGCGGAAGAUGUAACGGGGCUAAACCAUGCACCGAAGCUGCGGCAGCGACACUGUGUGUUGUUGGGUA
Molecule: ribosomal RNA, 547 nt
Filed under: Salmonella enterica subsp. enterica serovar Enteritidis
Lineage: Bacteria; Pseudomonadati; Pseudomonadota; Gammaproteobacteria; Enterobacterales; Enterobacteriaceae
Description: partial 23S ribosomal RNA
Rfam family: Bacterial large subunit ribosomal RNA
Source: RNAcentral